Molecule: transfer RNA, 86 nt
Filed under: Deltaproteobacteria bacterium HGW-Deltaproteobacteria-14
Lineage: Bacteria; Deltaproteobacteria
Also listed under: 2 other names
Description: tRNA-Leu
Rfam family: tRNA
About the family: Transfer RNA (tRNA) molecules are approximately 80 nucleotides in length. Their secondary structure includes four short double-helical elements and three loops (D, anti-codon, and T loops).
Source: RNAcentral
GCCGGAGUGGCGGAAUUGGUAGACGCGCUGGACUCAAAAUCCAGUGGGAGGUGACUCCCGUGUCGGUUCGAGCCCGACCUUCGGUA